RNAcentral lists this transfer RNA (72 nucleotides) under Ovis aries (sheep). It matches the Rfam family "tRNA". From Rfam's summary of the family: Transfer RNA (tRNA) molecules are approximately 80 nucleotides in length. Their secondary structure includes four short double-helical elements and three loops (D, anti-codon, and T loops). Further hydrogen bonds mediate the characteristic L-shaped molecular structure. tRNAs have two regions of fundamental functional importance: the anti-codon, which is responsible for specific mRNA codon recognition, and the 3' end, to which the tRNAs corresponding amino acid is attached (by aminoacyl-tRNA synthetases). tRNAs cope with the degeneracy of the genetic code in two manners: having more than one tRNA (with a specific anti-codon) for a particular amino acid; and 'wobble' base-pairing, i.e. permitting non-standard base-pairing at the 3rd anti-codon position. The record is from Rfam by way of RNAcentral. Lineage: Eukaryota; Metazoa; Chordata; Mammalia; Artiodactyla; Bovidae.
UCCCUGGUAGCUCAGAUGGUAAAGCGUCUGCCUGCAAUGCAGGAGACCCGGGUUCAAUCCCCAGGUUGUGAA